CAUUAAAAUAUUCGUUAUGCCUUUAAUAAAAAGAAAGCACUAUUCUAUCUUAAAGCUUAAACAUAUUUUUAAUAAAAAUUAUUCCAAUUCCGAGUUGGUGGAAAUUAAAUUUUUCCAUCUCUUUUUUUUGAAAAUUAUAAGUAUUUCUUCAUUUUCUCUUCGGCCAUAUUUUCCUCCUCUUCCGGCAAACCAAAGGAGCCGGUAUUUACUUUA
This 213-nucleotide long non-coding RNA is filed under the name Phoenix dactylifera (date palm). RNAcentral describes it as "long non-coding RNA (PDAC_LNC020352)". Lineage: Eukaryota; Viridiplantae; Streptophyta; Magnoliopsida; Arecales; Arecaceae. The record is from RNAcentral.